GAUCCUGGCUCAGAAUAAACGCUGGCGGCGUGCCUAACACAUGCAAGUCGAACGAGAAAGUGGAGCAAUCCAUGAGUAAAGUGGCGCACGGGUGAGUAACACGUGACUAACCUACCCAGGAGUGGGGAAUAACUGAGGGAAACCUUAGCUAAUACCGCAUAACACCUACGGGUCAAAGGAGCAAUUCGCUUCUGGAGGGGGUCGCGGCCGAUUAGUUAGUUGGCGGGGUAAUGGCCCACCAAGACGAUGAUCGGUAUCCGGCCUGAGAGGGCGCACGGACACACUGGAACUGAAACACGGUCCAGACUCCUACGGGAGGCAGCAG
This 325-nucleotide ribosomal RNA is filed under the name uncultured Acidobacteriota bacterium. RNAcentral describes it as "bacterial SSU rRNA". It matches the Rfam family "Bacterial small subunit ribosomal RNA", at positions 15 to 354 of the family's 1533-position model. The record is from RNAcentral. Lineage: Bacteria; Pseudomonadati; Acidobacteriota.